ACCCCAUAAUAUAUUUGAGUGGGCAUCACUUGAUAUUCGAAAACUCCGGUGGAUAGAGAUGGGCACGCGCAAGAUUAGAUAGUUGGUGAGGUAACGGCUCACCAAGUCAGCGAUCUUUAGGGGGCCUGAGAGGGUGAUCCCCCACACUGGUACUGAGACACGGACCAGACUCCUACGGGAGGCAGCAGUGAGGAAUAUUGGACAAUGGGUGAGAGCCUGAUCCAGCCAUCCCGCGUGAAGGACGACGGCCCUAUGGGUUGUAAACUUCUUUUGUAUAGGGAUAAACCUAGAUACGUGUAUCUAGCUGAAGGUACUAUACGAAUAAGCACCGGCUAACUCCGUGCCAGCAGCCGCGGUAAUACGGAGGGUGCAAGCGUUAUCCGGAUUUAUUGGGUUUAAAGGGUCCGUAGGCUGAUUUGUAAGUCAGUGGUGAAAUCUCACAGCUUAACUGUGAAACUGCCAUUGAUACUGCAAGUCUUGAGUGUUGUUGAAGUAGCUGGAAUAAGUAGUGUAGCGGUGAAAUGCAUAGAUAUUACUUAGAACACCAAUUGCGAAGGCAGGUUACUAAGCAACAACUGACGCUGAUGGACGAUAGCGUGGGGAGCGAACAGGAUUAGAUACCCUGGUAGUCCACGCCGUACACGAUGCUAACUCGUUUUUGGGUUUUCGGAUUCAGAGACUAAGCGAAAGUGAUAAGUUAGCCACCUGGCGGAGUACGAACGCAAGUUUGAAACUCAAAGGAAUUUGACGGGGGCCCGCACAAGCGGUGGAUUAUGUGGUUUAAUUCGAUGAUACGCGAGGAACCUUACCAAGGCUUAAAUGGGAAAUGACAGGUUUAGAAAUAGACUUUUUUUCGGACAUUUUUCAAGGUGCUGCAUGGUUGUCGUCAGCUCGUGCCGUGAGGUGUUAGGUUAAGUCCUGCAACGAGCGCAACCCCUGUCACUAGUUGCCAUCAUUAAGUUGGGGACUCUAGUGAGACUGCCUACGCAAGUAGAGAGGAAGGUGGGGAUGACGUCAAAUCAUCACGGCCCUUACGCCUUGGGCCACACACGUAAUACAAUGGCCGGUACAGAGGGCAGCUACACAGUGAUGUGAUGCAAAUCUCGAAAGCCGGUCUCAGUUCGGAUUGGAGUCUGCAACUCGACUCUAUGAAGCUGGAAUCGCUAGUAAUCGCGCAUCAGCCAUGGCGCGGUGAAUACGUUGUCCGGGC
Molecule: ribosomal RNA, 1210 nt
Filed under: Chryseobacterium jejuense
Lineage: Bacteria; Pseudomonadati; Bacteroidota; Flavobacteriia; Flavobacteriales; Weeksellaceae
Description: bacterial SSU rRNA
Rfam family: Bacterial small subunit ribosomal RNA
Source: RNAcentral